CAGCACGGUCGACGUCGACGACGUGGAGGAACAAGCCAGGGAUCCUCAAACAGGACGAGAAGACG
RNAcentral lists this non-coding RNA (65 nucleotides) under uncultured Nitzschia. The record is from RNAcentral. Lineage: Eukaryota; Bacillariophyta; Bacillariophyceae; Bacillariales; Bacillariaceae.